This 468-nucleotide ribosomal RNA is filed under the name uncultured bacterium. RNAcentral describes it as "partial 16S ribosomal RNA". It matches the Rfam family "Bacterial small subunit ribosomal RNA", at positions 28 to 507 of the family's 1533-position model. The record is from RNAcentral.
GAUGAACGCUGGCGGCGUGCUUAACACAUGCAAGUCGAACGGAAAGGCCCUGCGAUUGUGCGGUGCUCGGGGGGGGAACGGGGGAGUAACACGUGAGUAACCUGCCCUUGUCUUUGGGAUAACUUCAGGUAACGGGGGCUAAUACCGGACAGGAGACGCCGUUCCAUGGAGGGGGUUGGAACGUCUCGGCGGUUGGGGAUGGACGCGCGGCUGAUCAGCUUGUUGGUGGGGGAGGGGCAGACCAAGGCUUUGACGGGUAGCCGGCCUGGGAGGGGGAACGGCCACAUGGCGACUGAGGUACGGCCCAGACUCCUACGGGAGGCAGCAGUGGGGAAUAUUGCCCAAUGGGCGGAAGCCUGAUGCAGCAACGCCGCGUGCGGGAUGACGGCCUUCGGGUUGUAAACCGCUUUCGCCUGUGACGAAGCGUGAGUGACGGUAAUGGGUAAAGAAGCACCGGCUAACUACGUG